AUUAAAAAACUAAAUCAAAUCAACACAUCUUUCAAUUUCUGGACAAAACUAAAAGAAAAAAGAAUGAAGAGAAGGUGGGGGGGCAAAAAGAAGAGAAGAAAGAAGAAAAAUCAAAUUUUGGCGGGUACGUCGCUGGGUCGAUCAAAUGCUGUGUGGGGUUGCUGUGUAGUCUUCACUCUUCAUCAACCAAUCACCAGGUAGUACUAAGGAUGGAUGGACGGAAACGUACUCUUCUCCUUCGCGGCCGCCUCACCAU
This 256-nucleotide long non-coding RNA is filed under the name Sorghum bicolor (sorghum). RNAcentral's name for it is "long non-coding RNA (SBIC_LNC011654)". Lineage: Eukaryota; Viridiplantae; Streptophyta; Magnoliopsida; Poales; Poaceae. The record is from RNAcentral.